UACAGAGGUCUCAAGCGUUGUUCGGAUUCAUUGGGCGUAAAGGGUGUGUAGGUGGCGCCGUAAGUCGGGUGUGAAAUUUCGGAGCUUAACUCCGAAACUGCAUUCGAUACUGCGGUGCUUGAGGACUGGAGAGGAGACUGGAAUUCAUGGUGUAGCAGUGAAAUGCGUAGAGAUCAUGAGGAAGACCAGUGGCGAAGGCGGGUCUCUGGGCCUAUACUGACGCUGAGGAGCGAAAGCGUGGGGAGCGAACAGG
This 253-nucleotide ribosomal RNA is filed under the name uncultured bacterium. Its description in RNAcentral is "partial 16S ribosomal RNA". It matches the Rfam family "Bacterial small subunit ribosomal RNA", at positions 524 to 776 of the family's 1533-position model. The record is from RNAcentral.